UAUAAUGAAAUUCAAGUGAGUCACUUAUGCC
This 31-nucleotide non-coding RNA is filed under the name Mus musculus (house mouse). The record is from RNAcentral. Lineage: Eukaryota; Metazoa; Chordata; Mammalia; Rodentia; Muridae.